GACGAACGCUGGCGGCGUGCUUAACACAUGCAAGUCGAACGGAAAGGCCCCUUUGGGGGUACUCGAGUGGCGAACGGGUGAGUAACACGUGAGUAACCUGCCCUUGACUUCGGGAUAACUUCAGGAAACUGGGGCUAAUACCGGAUAGGAAUCCUUGCUGCAUGGUAGGGGUUGGAAAGCUUCGGCGGUUUUGGAUGGACUCGCGGCUUAUCAGCUUGUUGGUGGGGUAGUGGCUUACCAAGGCUUUGACGGGUAGCCGGCCUGAGAGGGCGACCGGCCACAUUGGGACUGAGAUACGGCCCAGACUCCUACGGGAGGCAGCAGUGGGGAAUAUUGCACAAUGGGCGGAAGCCUGAUGCAGCAACGCCGCGUGCGGGAUGACGGCCUUCGGGUUGUAAACCGCUUUCAGCAGGGGCGAAGCUUGUGGUGACGGUACCUGCAGAAGAAGCACCGGCUAACUACGUG
RNAcentral lists this ribosomal RNA (465 nucleotides) under uncultured bacterium. RNAcentral's name for it is "partial 16S ribosomal RNA". It matches the Rfam family "Bacterial small subunit ribosomal RNA", at positions 28 to 507 of the family's 1533-position model. The record is from RNAcentral.